This 74-nucleotide transfer RNA is filed under the name Planctomycetaceae bacterium. RNAcentral's name for it is "tRNA-His". It matches the Rfam family "tRNA". Rfam says of the family: Transfer RNA (tRNA) molecules are approximately 80 nucleotides in length. The record is from RNAcentral. Lineage: Bacteria; Pseudomonadati; Planctomycetota; Planctomycetia; Planctomycetales; Planctomycetaceae.
GUGGCUAUAGCUUCAGUUGGUAGAACGCCAGAUUGUGGUUUUGGAUGUCGCCGGUUCGAGCCCGGUUAGUCACC